UGCCGGUAUCAUAUAUAUGUUUUUAUCCAAUUAUAUUGCACAGGAUCUAACGGAUCACAAUAAUGACAUCUAUAAUACUGUGUACAAUAUUCAGUGGAAUGUAACUCCAUUACAUAUACAAAAAAUAAUAUUAUUUCUGUUGCAAAGAGGCGCUGUAGAUUUUACUGUAAGUGUCGGUGGAAUAUUUGUCGGAUCGUUGGAGUGUUUCGCCACGUUGGUAAAAGCUUCGGUCUCCUAUUUUACUUUUUU
Long non-coding RNA from Camponotus floridanus (Florida carpenter ant), 249 nucleotides. RefSeq lists it as uncharacterized. NCBI's taxonomy places the organism in Eukaryota, Metazoa, Arthropoda, Insecta, Hymenoptera, Formicidae. The record is from RefSeq and is a predicted model, not a curated record. The transcript has 3 exons.